RNAcentral lists this ribosomal RNA (246 nucleotides) under uncultured Oligosphaera sp. Its description in RNAcentral is "partial 16S ribosomal RNA". It matches the Rfam family "Bacterial small subunit ribosomal RNA", at positions 796 to 1041 of the family's 1533-position model. Lineage: Bacteria; Pseudomonadati; Lentisphaerota; Oligosphaeria; Oligosphaerales; Oligosphaeraceae. The record is from RNAcentral.
CACGCUGUAAACGUUGUGUGCCAGAUGUGGGCAGGUUCGGCCCUGUCCGUGUCCAAGCUAACGCGAUUAGCACACCGCCUGGGGACUACGGCCGCAAGGCUAAAACUCAAAGGAAUUGACGGGGGCCCGCACAAGCGGUGGAGCAUGUUGCUUAAUUCGAUGCAACGCGAAGAACCUUACCCAGGUUUGACAUGCAAGUGACCGCAGCUGAAAGGCUGUUUUCCUUCGGGACACUUGCACAGAUGC